UUGACAUAUUAUCUCAUGAUGUAGCGAUUACUAUAGAAAAGAUGGAAUGCCAUAGAUGAGGACGAGAUCUAACUUUAUUGACUCAACAAACAUGAUUAGAGAGAUUUAUUUUUCCUUAUCUAAACCCUUUCAUGGUUUUCUUCUUUCUUCUCCGUCUUGGAGAGAAAAAGCUCCGUUUCUCUUAUCUUCUCACCUCCUAUAUAUAUUAUUAGUAUUCUUUUUUGUCCAUCGAUCCUUAAACAGAGUGUCUUUAUCCCUUGAUUGUACUUCACGUCGUCUUCCUCAGCUACCAUGACAUUUUCUUCGCCAUACAGGCUUUUUGAUGGCUUGGUCUCGGUGGUGGCCGAGGUAUUCG
Molecule: long non-coding RNA, 355 nt
Filed under: Nicotiana benthamiana
Lineage: Eukaryota; Viridiplantae; Streptophyta; Magnoliopsida; Solanales; Solanaceae
Description: long non-coding RNA (NBEN_LNC030216)
Source: RNAcentral